UAAUAUUGAAGUAGUAAUGAAUAUAAGAUCUUAAGAAAAGUAUGCUUAACUUGGCAAAUAAACUAAGUCUUAGUUUAUUUGUUAAGUGUUUGAGACAAGUAAUUUUAUGACUUGAAAUCAAUUUUUAGGUGAUCAAUCUAAAAAGAGCAUUAAUAAUUUCUCAAACAAGUAAAAUUAAUCAAAGCACCUACUUGAAUGAUUAAAAUUCAAACUUUUAGAAUACAAGAAGUAGAAAUACAUAACCAUAUUCAAAAGAAAUUGUUAGGAGCAUGAGCCAUCCAUCCAAGGAUUGGAUGCUUUGAGUUCCAAAUGAGAUUACAAAAUUGAUUUUUGCAUCUCAUUUGCCUCCUCCUUUUCUCCUCUUGAAUUAUAAACUAGAAUUACAAAACUUACUUAAAUAAAGUUCCUAAGAACUAAGAACAAGAAGAGAUAACUUCAGAGAAGAAUUUCUAGGCAAGAUGUGAAUGAAAAUGUGAGAUAAAUGAUGUUUUUUUAUUCUAAUGAAAUGUGCCCUAUUUAUAGAAGUUCCCUGGACCCGCUGAGCUACUUGUUAGCACCGCUCAGCAGCUGACCAAACCCUUCAGCAUGGGUUUGGUCACUUGAUCAAACAGCUUUAUCACCUCCUUAUGCUUGACUCAUCAAAGUUAGUUGUGAGCUACUGGACCAGCUAUUGUGAGCUACUCUAAAAACCUUAUGGUGGGCUACUUGAAGUGAUGUCAUUGGUGACUUCAUGGUUUGCUUGAUGGCUAAGUCAAGUCUGGGUGCACACUGCUUAGCACACCUGUUGCACCGCUAAGCUGCUUGUUCAGCAGAUUUGACCGUGCUGACUGGGACGUGGCCUGGUGCUUGCUGAUCUGGGCAGGAGUCUAGUUCUUCGCUGAGCUGCUUGGUUGCACAGCUAAGGUGCUUGUUGAGCAGCUUGGGCAUGUGCCAAGCUCGUGUCUAGCCGUGUCAAGCUUGAGUUCUGACCGUGUCAAGACUAGUCUGAUGCUAGGCUGAGCGGCCAAGUAGGUCCGUCAGCUACUUGCUUGAGCAGCUUGGUCUAGGUCAGCUUAGCGUGGCUUGGUCCACGCUCAACUUCCUGCUUGAGCACCUUGAUUUUGACUUCUUUUUUUUUACCAUGAGUCUUUUUUCUCUUCUUUUCUUCUUUCUAAAUCCUACAAAAUACAUAAAAAAGAAAUACAAACACAAAUAUACAAUAUUGUGAUAUUUUAUACAAAAAGUAUUGUUUUAAGUUGGUUUUUCUCAAUUAUGCUUAGGACAAGUGCCAUAAAAUGAUGAUGAAAAUUGUAUACUUUUUGCACUUAUCAAUGCCUAGAGCUCAUUGGUCAUAUCUAGACUUGGAUAUAAAUAGAGUCAUUAUUCUAAGUAGUUUGGGAUGUGUGCCUUAGUAAGUGAGUAUAGGUGAGGUGAACCUAGGUGCAAGUCUCUCAAGCCAUUAUAAUUAUCACAUCACAUCCAUGAGACAUAUCAUCUAGUUAAUUGUAUGUUCAUACAUUAAUCACACAUUUAUAUGUGCAUAUUAGGCAUAAUAUAAUUGCUAAAACAUGUAUAGGAGUUAAGCAUAACAUAUGAGAAGUUUACCUUUUGAACCACCUAUUUUAAUAUGCUACUUAAUUCUAUUAACGUGGUGACUUAAUCGAUUAACUCAACUGUUUUUCUGUUAUAUCAGUGUUUCUGUUACAACUAGUUUCUAUUUCAAUUCUGCUGCACUGGUUAAUCGAUUAACGGGUUACCUUAAUCGAUUAACAGGUAUGUUUUGUGUUAUAACUGAUUUCUGUUUUAACUGCUUAAUUGAUUGCAACGAAUCCAACUGUAAAAACUGCCUAAUAUAAGUUGAGGCAACUUCCAGAAAAUUGUAGCAUUGCAUUCCAUUGUAUAGGAUUGAAUUAGAUAGCAUAUUUCAUUUUUGCAUUUUGUUUUUGCAAGAGAGUUGCAUGUGUGAGGAAGAGAGAUUACCAUGCCUUAUCGAGUCUUUGAUUUGCAUACUGUUUUUCAUAUGUUUAGUAUCAUCCUUAUCUUGCUCACAUGUUCAUGCAUUAUUUGUAAAGAUUUUUAGAGAGGUAUAUUGAUUACUGUUUUUGAUUAACUCACAUGUAUUUGAUGACUUGAGUGAAUUGUGAGGGGGUUAGUCUUAAGGUCUUUUAUUGUAAUAUUUCAAGCAUUAUUGUGCUUAUAAUAUCUUGUUGUUGUAAUCUGUUUUUGUAUGAUUUUGAUUGAUCUCUUGGUGUCGUACCACCAUAGAGAUCGGGAUUCUUCACCAAGACUAUGAGGUCUUGAUUUGAGAACAAGAAUCUUGGAUGGGGCUGUUUCGUGAGAAAGGUUUUCUCAGGCGAUAGGUAGAGUCAAACCAAGGGUUAGGUGUUCUAGAUUUCAAGAAAGAAGCGUCCUAUGUUUUGUAAAUUGAAUUCGUGGGUGUGAUCAUACAUACAUUCAAUAUUGUGAAGAAGAAAGUCUCCCAAGACCAGAAGGGGAGGCAUAGAUGUAGUUUGUAGUGGACCGCAAACGAACCAGGAUAAAAAUUUAUUUUUGCACGUUGCUCUCUUCUUAAAUCUUCUUUACUUUUCUUGCUGUUUCAAUUCGAGUUAAUAGAUGAUAUUUUGCGUAAUUGUACCCUUCCAUAUGCUUAUUAAUAAUGCUUAAAAAUAUCUGCUUUAUUUAUGUUCAUUUGAUUUUAAAUAACUGUGCAAUUUGCUGCUCUGAUUAACUGGGAUGUUUCCAGAACUGGAUUUUGGUGUGAGAAGCGAUGAUUUAUAAUCGCUACACCUAUGCUAUUGAUACCUAACAAGUCAAACUGCAAAUAAAGAGAUAAGAUGAUAAAAGCGAGAUAAGAUGAGAAGAAAAAUAAAUUCAUAACAACAAACAAACAAAUACAAUAUUGUAACUUGUAACUAAAUGUGUGUGUAUAUAUAUAAAUGGAGAUCGGUUACAUAACAUAGUUUUUGAGGGAUUGGCCAUUGUUAAGGAUGAAAUCCCUGUAAAUCAGACACUAAAGAAGAUGAUUAUAGGAAGAAGAAAUCUACAGAAUAAUAAAAUCAAUCAUACCACGUAUACAAAAUAAACAAAUCAAUGAAAUACUAAACAAAAAAAUCAAAGAAAAAAUAAGAAAAUAUAUACAUAAUAAACAAAAAAUCAAUUAAAAGAUCUAGAAAAUAAGAACAUUUCUACAAAUAAGAACAUAUCUAGAAAGAAACAAAUGAAUGAAAAAAAUUAAUAAAAAUGCACUUUAAAUAACAUAUUUACAAAAUAAGAACAAAUCUACAAUGAUGAAGAUUGAGUAGCAGUAUACAGAAGCCAUAAUAUUAGGUUUAAACAAAAUGAUGAUUGACGAAUGAAACAUUGGAUUGUAGACAUGUGAGAGAAUAAGAGAUAGAUACGAAACGAAAGGGGGAGAGAAGACGAUGGAGAUAUGAAAUGAUAAUGGAGAGAAAAGUAAUUCACAUGUGAAAAGGGAUUCAAUCCCCUUUAUUGUGAUAUGCAAUUUCUUCAUAGAAUAAAAAACAAAUGAACUCAUUAACCAUUAGUAUUAAAAUAUACAAUGUACAAAAAGGGAAUAUACAAUGUUGAAAGAUACAUAUUAUUAACAUAUACAUGUUUUGGAGGGAAAGUUUCGAUUGAAAGAUUGACAUAUGUCAUGAGAGACAUUUUUUGAUUGAGAGAUUUUGAUUGAGGGAUUGACACAUGUCAUGCGGGACCUUUUUUUGUUAUAUAGAAAAUAGGUAAUAGAUACGAUUAAUAGAAAGAAUGUAACAAAAAUUAUCUAGAUUAUAAAUUUGUUGAAAGUAGAAAAUAAUUUUAUUAAUAUAAAAAAUUAAUUUUACUUGUCAUAAAGAAAUUUGUAUAUUCAAACACAUCAAUAUUGUACUCAUUGUUUAUGAUUUUAUGUUUGAAAAGCUUAAAACAUACAAUUAAAUAUGGAGAAUUUGUGAACAAUUUAGACAAAAUGUUAACUUAUGACAAAAAGUAAAAUGUUGAUCAAAAGGAGAGAAAAAUGUUUGAAAAGUCUUAUAAUGAGUUCUCUAAUUUGUAUAACUCAAUAUUAUUUUAUUCUAAAAUAAUAUCAAUUUCAAAAUUCACAUUAUUAUUAUUUGAUUUUAAAAUAACUCCAAAGACAUAUAAUUGAGAAUUGAAUACACACAAUUGAGAAUUCAAAAUACACAUUAAAUUCAAAUAAAAAAUGAUAUUAUAUGAAUAUUUGAAUAACACAUUUUCCUAUAAAUAAAAUCAACACUAAUGUUACAACUCAUUAUUAUUUUAUUCUAAAAUAAGAUCAAUUUAAAAAUACACAUCAUUAAUAUUUGAUUCUAAAGUAACUCAUAACACAUAAAUUUCAAAUUGUAUGAUAUAAUAUAUCUCCUCUAUAUUCUCUAUAUAAACAUAAAUAUAAAAAUUUCUUUCUCCAUUCUAGUUUUUUUGGGAUCCAUCUCAUAUAGAAAAACGUUGUAUGAACUAUUAAGUUGUUACAUUUGAAAAUGUUGCAGGAAUCUUAUUUCAAUCUCAUACAUUAUUUCCCUUAAAAUUUAAUGUUGAAAAAUUAUUUAAAUUAUAAUAGAAAAUUAAGAGCAUUGAUUUCUAAAAGUAAGAUUGUAUGGAUUUUGAGUCACAUAUUUUGUUGUAAACAUUGUCUGCUCCAUAUACUAUUUGUUUUUCAAUGGUAAAAAAUAUAAAAUUAAAAUAUUUUUAAUUUAUGUUUUACUUUUAUGAUCAAUGAGAAACAAAUGUACAUGAAGUGUUACAGUUUGGGACAGAAAUGGAAAACAAGAGAAUUCUAACAAAAUUUCAGGCAGAAUAUCUUGAAUGAGGAUUUGGGAUUUGCACUACUUUUUUAGAAAGCUGAGAAACUAACAUUAAUAUCUCAUUUAUGUAUUGAAAUUAUUAAAUUAGAUACUCUACCUUUGUGACAAGUGUACAAAGUAAAGACAUUUUUGUCAAUAUGAAGGAUUGUUAGAAUUACUAAAAUGACACUCUUGAUUUGUGGUAAAUAUAAUUUCUACUCUUAGUUUGUUCAACAUAUCUACUAUUUUCAACUCUAAAAAAAGUCAGUCACAUGUAUCAUUUUGUAUUCUUUUAAUUUCUGUCUUUGUUGGUUGAUAUACCUUUUCAAAUUGUCUUCACCAAACUUAUCAUCUUUAACUCUCAAACCAACUCACAGUUAUGAUUUUAUUUUUAUACACUUUCAAUUUUUUCAUCAUUUGUGGUAGAUGUAAUUUCUAUCUUUGUUGGUAGAUAUACUCUUCAAAUUGUAUUCAAUAAAUCUAUAAUCUUCAACUCACUCACAAAUAUGAUUUUCUAUUCUUUUAAUUGUUGUUUUUGUUGGUAGAUAAUCAUAUAAAUUUAACAUAUUUUAUUAGACAAAUCUAUCAUCUUAAACUCUCGAACUCACUCAAAUUUAUGAUUUUCUAUUCUUUUAAUUAGUGUAUUUGUUGGUAGAUAUACUUUAUUAUAUUUCAAUUUUUUCUUUGUAAACUCUUCCAAUUUUUAGUUUGUUGAGGUAUGAUUUUAUUUUUAUACUCUUUCAAUUUUUUCUUUGUAGACUCUUUCAUUUUUAUUUUGUUGAUAAAUUAUUUUAUCAUAUAAAUUUUUGCAUCAUAAAUGUUGUUUUCUUCAUCUUCUUUUGUCUUUGUUUCAGCAUUUACAAAAGACAGAACUCACAUCCUCGAACACAAUUAUUAGAGGUUGCAAUUUAUACUAUUUCAUUUUUUUCUUUGUAGACUCUUUCAAUUUUUACUUUGUUGAGGUAUGAUUUUAUGUUUAUACUCUUUCAAUUUUUUCUUUGUAGACUCUUUCAAUUUUUAUUUUGUUGAUAGAUUUAUUCAUCAUAUAAAUUUUUGUAUCAUAAUUAUUUUUUCUUCAUCUACUUUUGUCUUUGUUUUAGCAUUUAUAGAAGAUAAAACUCAUCUCCUCUAACACAAUUAUUAGAGGUUGCAAUUUCUACAUGUGUACAAAGUAAUAUAUUUUUUAUUAUGUUUUAUUGUUCACACUUGAAUUAUGGAUUUGUCAUGCUAUUUGUUUCAACAUUUGUAGAAGAGAAAACACACCUCCUAGAAUAUAAUGAUUAGAUGUUGCCAAUACUAUUUGAGUGUAAUUAUAACUCUUCCUUAGGAUCCUUUUAAUUGUAACACGAAUUAUGCCCCGAAAAUUACUCCACAAAUAUAACGCCCAAAAAUGGGAAAAAAAAAAGUUUUGAAUAAUGUAACAUAAACUUAUCAUCUUUAUAUUCGUUUCUUUUUCGGGUCAUCACUUUAAGUAACAUACAUUGCGGAAAAUCAAAAACCGUUACCUAAUGGUAACCAAAAAUAACACAAUAUAACUUUGAAGAAUACUUCAUUUAAUAACGGUAAAUAUCUGUACGAAAUGCAAAUUAGAAGAAAUAUUCGCCCAAACUGAAAUUACACAAAAGGCUCAGACAUUCAACACAUCAAAAAGUACCUUACAUAGAUCUAAGUCGCAAGGGCUUGUGUAGGUGUACUGAUCUCCCUCAAUCCUCCAUGCCCCCUCCUGGGAGAUCGAGAAGUGGUAACUCCGAAUCCUGACCGAGCGAUCCAUCUGAACAAAACGCAAUCUGAAGACAAAUAGAAAGAAGAGGGAGUAAGACAUCUAAUGAAUAUUACUCAUAGACGGCGUGGAAUUACACAGAAUAUCACAUCCAGACAGACACGCAUAAUAAACACAAUAUAUACAUCACAUAUAAAAAUGCACAAUGAUGAAUGAUGUUAUAAUCUCAGAUUAUGAGGAUCAAAGUCCACAAUCUCAAUGUAUGAAUGUUAUGCUUGUUUCAUCCAUCCUUUCACCAAUAUCCUCCCANNNNNNNNNNNNNNNNNNNNNNNNNNNNNNNNNNNNNNNNNNNNNNNNNNNNNNNNNNNNNNNNNNNNNNNNNNNNNNNNNNNNNNNNNNNNNNNNNNNNAGUAUGCACAAUAAACGGGUUAGCCGAUUAAAUCUUUUAAUCAUUAUUUUAUAUGAUCGGCCCAACCUAAGACAUCUCCCUGAGGAAUGCUUCUUAUGGGACUCGAUCUUACGUCAACACGUAAAUAGAGGAAUAACAUCCCUACCACUAUGAACAAUUGUUGAAUCACCCUGGACGGCCACAUGGCCAAGCCUCUUACGGUCGGACGACCUCGCUGCGUGGUAUCAUGUAAUCCUUUUUUGGGCAUCGCCCUAAUAACGACAUCACAGUCGGAAACCUUGCCCUAAAUAGGCGCAAGAACAAAUGUACUUGUAUAAGUUUGUUGAUUUUGGGCAUCGGGUUCAAUCAUCUGAGUCACGGUCUUUCCCAAGGGUAAAUACACUUCACACCCAAGCUAGGGCUAUUUUCUAAGCAAUAAAACAAUCACAAUCAGUCAAAAAUAUUGUUUGUCUUUCGCCAAAGCGACCAAUUCAUCAACACAUACUCAAAUUCCUGCAUGGUUCUCGCUCGAGCAAGGGGACUGUCGCUCAAGCUAAAAAUCCACAAAAAACUGGUCAAACUACCUGUCUGGACUUGCCCGGGCGAGGUAUGAUCGUCCGGGCGCCAAAAACGCCCAAAACAGGUUGUCUAGCCCUCGCCCAGACGAGAAACGCUCGCACAAGCGAGGCUGGCUCGCCCAGGCGAGGGAUUGCUCGCCCAAGCGCUAUUUGGAACCAUUCUUUUCUAUUUCUCCCUUUUGGGCUAUCGGAUCAUUUUCCUCCCCCUUUUGGGCUAUCAGAUCGAAACUCUCCCCUCUUUUCAAUCCUAAUGCAUUUUAGUUUCUCGAGUGGUGUUACUUCAUGGAUAGCCACCACAAUACUUGAUAUUUUAAGUUACCCUAAUCAUACAACUUAAGAAAGUAUCCAUACAAAAUCCAGGCACACAAAAUAAUUGAUUAAGUACGGGUUUUCUUAAUACACAAAUAUAACUGCAAACGUUUGAGAUAGUUUAGGAGAUCCGGGUGUCAUAUUCGGACAUCACUAUGUCAUGAUGUAUUCUUCCUCACCUUAGGUUGUCGCGUUCUUGCUUUAUUUUACGAGCAAGUGGGUUGAUCAUCCAACUUCGAAAGCUUCGAAACUAAACACACAAAAAUAAUUUAGUGAUUUGUGAAUCAAUUUUACAUGACAACCCUAAAGUAAAAUCAUGGUUUAAUACUUUAAUCCAUUUAUGAACUCAACGAAUUUCAUCCAUCCGGUCCAAGAUUCAUAUUUUUGAAUAAUCAUUUAUCAUCGAAAGUCUUGUUCCCGAUUUCCAAGAUAAGUUUUUGUAAAGUUUACACUUUUAUCACCUCAUAGAUUUAUAUUUUCAUGGCGACUUUGUAAGCCAUACUUCACCAUUUUAAGGUAAGUUUCUUAAUCCAAGUCUACACUUUUUAAAUCCAUAUCUCCCAAGUUGAUCUUACCACUUUAAAGUAAGUCAUCUUAAGUAGAUUCCAUAUUUUGCAUAAUAGGUUUUCAUGGUCAUUUCAACACAUUCUUGAUAGUGUUGAUCUCAUACUUAAACAACGUUUAAAUCAACAUUUCUUAAGUUACACUUACCACUUUAAAGUAAGNNNNNNNNNNNNNNNNNNNNNNNNNNNNNNNNNNNNNNNNNNNNNNNNNNNNNNNNNNNNNNNNNNNNNNNNNNNNNNNNNNNNNNNNNNNNNNNNNNNNAUCUUAUAACAAAUCAAUCAUCCUUUACUUCAUAACACUUUAAGUUUAUAAAGUCAAGACUUUUAUAAGUCAUCUUUUAUUCCAAAUCAUUACUUGAACUUGGAAGUCAAAGAAUAUCAUCUACUAACCAACUUUUAAACUCAUAAUAUUCUAAAACAACACUUUUUCACAAAACUCAUCCAUAAACACUUUAAAGGUUCCUUUGAUAACAAAAUUAUCCCCUUUGAAACAAAAUCAAACUUCAACAUUAAAAAUAUAUUAUUCUAAACUUGUCCAAGGCUAUGGUUUUUCAAGCCAAAAACAAGUAGAAAAUUCCAAACUUUGCAUGGUUAGGAAAACUCCUUAAAUGUUUCUUUGAUAUACAACCAUCACCUUUAACCAUGUUCGAAUACCAACAAACAAAUAACUUUCUAAACAUUAAAAACAGCCCCGUGAACACAAAGAGUUCAUGGUUUCAAAAUAACUUUCUAAGUUCAAGAAAACGUAUAUUUGGAGUUUUAAAUAUAAAGAGUUAGGAAGAUAUUUAGAACAUUUCAACGGUUGAAAAUGUUCAUAACAUACAUAUAAAUAUCAUACUAAAAUUUCAUAAACAUCUAAUGGUUAGAUGUUAAGAGAUGAAGAAAUCAAAAUGAAAAAUCAUGAAGAACUACCUUGAGAGUUCUUAGAGAAUGCAAAGUGAAGAAGAGUUUGAAAAUGCCAAGGUAUUCUCUUAGCUAGGGUUUGGCUCCUUAAAGAGAGAAAUCAGAUUUGGGGGGAAAAUACAAUGGUUUCUUCCAAAAAGUAGAUGUGUAAGAGGUAGAUGAGUGAUUUAAGGGAUUUUGUGUAAGAGGAUAUGAAUUUUUGCUUGUUCCACAAGCAAGCCUCUUACAUGAAAGCGAUGUGACCUUUUUGGUGAAACAUUCGAAAAUAAACCGUGCUCGAUUAUUGUCGGCUAAUACUCGGUCGGAUAUUAAAAAUCUUCCGACUUCGGUUUACGGUUAGAACUUCGAAACACAGAAUUUGGAGUGAAAAAUAUUUAGAAAUGUGUUCUGGACAAACUUGAUGUCUAUCUUGACUCGAAAUAACAUUUCGAAGCCAAUGGCGAAAUCAGAAUUCGAUUCCGAGUUACGGAACUCAAAAACACGUUCUUGGGCCGAAUUCGAGCGAAUUUGGGUCCGACAGCAGCUCAAAAACUUUCCGUCACAGAAAAUUACAAACAUUUACCAUAAAAUAGGAAAUCACAAAACAUGACUAACACUCAACUACGGUUUAGUCUAAUUCAAUACCGAUUAAUUUCUGAAAUUAAUCGUUGUUAAAAUAAAUAAUUAAUAAAACAUACAUAGAAAAUUCACGGUGUUACAAAUUAUAUAUAUACAUUGUAACAUUCCUUUUUUUAUUAUGAAAAUGUGAAUUUAAUGAGGGAGCAAAAAAUGACAAGCAUUUUGUCCAAGAAUUAUUGGAGGUUUAUGUAAGUUAGUUGACUAUUACUAGAAAUAAGAAGAUUCCCAAGAAAUAAUGUCAAUAUUAUUGAAAUUAAAUUGAGAGAUGUUAAUCUGUUUUCCUCCUUGGCCAAUGGCCAAGAGAAAAAUUAAUUUCAACUUUAAUGCCUAAUUUUAAGGUGAUGAAAUCUGCCAUCAUGUUCCUAUCUCUUAAGAUAUGUUGAGUAUGAACUUCCCAAUUUCUUAUAAGCACAUCACCAAUGUUAUGGAUAACAUGAGUAAGAUAAUGCAAACGAACCUGCAUCCUCUCAAUGAUGAUGUGGACUGCCUCAAGGAAAUCACUUUCCAAGGUUACCAAACGAUAACCUUGAUUUCAAGCCAACCGAAGAUCAUGCUCAAUAGCAAGCAACUCUGCUAGAAUAGGAGACCUAUAUCCAAAGUUUCCCGAGAAUCCUGAUAGUCAUUGACCUUCAUGAUUGCGGAUAAAUCAUCCUCCUUCAAUAGAUUGAUCACGAAUAUUAUAGCUACCAUCUACAUUAAGUUUCACUCUAGCAAUCUUUGGCCAACACCGUUGAGUUCUAGAUAGAGAAACAUCACUAGUAAACCAAUCCUUAUAAUCAUGGUGAAUAUUUCUAGCGACAUAAUUUCAGUCCCAUGGUAUAUUUCCAAAUAUAGUAUUGUUAUGCCAUUUCCAAACCCACCAUAAACCUUCCAAAAAAAAGUCUCCCAUUUUGAGUUCGAGUAUUAUCCACUAGCCAAGACAUGAAGGUGUGACUAUCCUAGAAGUUGUGAUUGUUGAAACCCAAACGAUGCCAUAACAUAGCAGAGUUGUUACAAUCUCUGAAAGUAUGGAGGAGAUCCUCAAUGGCAUUAGUACACCGAGCAUAAAGUUUAUUGGCAAAGAAACAUGAGCACGUAGUUUAUCGUAAAGAAACCUGAGCAUAGAGCUAACAAAGAAAUUAGACUUUUUGUGGUACAUGUAAUCUCCACAACCAACUCCAAUGAUUAUGGUAAGUCAUAACCUCAUCAUUACUCUUAAUCCACAAGUAACCUGAAUUAGUUGUAUAACACCCCGAUGCACUAUUCUCCAAAAUCCAAGAGUUAAUCAUGUUAUUAUCGGAAGACAGAACAAGAAUUGUUUGAAUAACAUCCUUCACAUGUAUAGGAAGCAUAGUAUAAAUAAUGCUAAAAUCCCAUGAACUAUCCUUCCAUAAGUCCUUCACUUGUAGCUGAGUGUCAGAAAUAUUAACAUAAUCCACCAUAGUGCAAAGCUUGCCCAACCCAUACCAAUUGUCAUGCCAUAGGGAUUGGUCACCAUCACCUAACUGCAAUAUGAAACCAUUCCUAAGUUCCACAGUGGCAUUUUCUAUACUCUUCCAGAUAGGAGAAUCAGAAGACCUAUUUAAGGCAUAAACCAUACAACAAUCCUCAAGAUACUUCUCUCUAAGAACCAUGCACCAAAGCUUAUUACUCCCUUGGAUCAUGUUUCAACGCAGUUUUCCCAAAAGAGAUAUAUUAGCCAAACAUGAGUCACGAAUCCCAAGACCACCCUCGUUUUUAUUCUUAGUCAAAACCUCCCAAUUAACCAAGUUGACUCUAUUCGUUGACAUCACCCUCAUAGAAAGUUCAUGGUCAUCCUAUUAAUAUCAUUAUAAAUAUCCUGAGUGAGUCACAUACUCUGCAUGGUAUAGGUUGGUAAGGAAGUAAUAAUCGAUUUAAUAAGAUAAAGUCUACCAGCUUUAUUAAGGAGGUUCGACUUCCACAUGUGCUUUUAAAUUUUUUCCAUCAACGGAUUAAAAACAGAUCUUCGAACCCUCCCUUAAACAAGCAGGAUUCCCAAAUAUUUACCAAGGCUAGAGACAACGCACGUCUUAGAAAGAGACAUAAAGUUAUGUUUCCUCCUCUUGGACACAUAUUUAGAGCAUACAAUUUACUCUUAUAUUAACAAAAUGGAGUUUCUUUGUCAAAUUAUCAUAUUGCAGAAAACAUACUAAAACACCUACAAUGUCCAUUAAUAUGGUUCUAAUACAACAAAUAUUACAUUAACAAUUCAUUAACAUGAACGUUUAACAUAAAACAAAUCAAUGGAGAUUCUAAUAUCAUUAACAUAAACAAUUUUCAUCUUUUGAUUGAUUUAUUAAAAAUUGUAUUGCAGGAAUAUUUGUAACGAGUUUUAUAUCAUGACAAAAAAAAUAGCCCCUUAUAAAUGCAAAUGUCACAAUAUGAAGAUAUCAAUUUUAGUAAAAGCACCAACUCGUUCUAUUCCAUUAAAAAUAUCUAGUGUCCUUCAUUCUCCUUUUGUGGUAGGGAAUUGGAAAUUUAGGUACAUUAUCUAUUUUUUUACCCUUAUAACUACUUUUAACAUUUUCUCAACUUUAAAACUUAGAUUUAAUUUUUUAAAUACAACGUUAUGAUUAUUAGAUUUAAUUAAAUCAUAAUAAUUAGUUUUAUGGGUUAUGAUUGACAUGAUCUAUAACCUUAUGAUUUAUUCAUUUAGUCAAUCUCUCAUAUUUAAUCAUUUUAUUUUUUUUAUCAAAAACCAAAAUUACAUGUUAAUCACAAAAAUGGAAGUCAUAUCUUUAGGGUUUAUAUCACAUCAUUAUUAUUUGAUUUUAAAAUAAAAUCAAUUUUAAAAUGUGCAUAAUUAUUAUUUGAGAAUGAAACAAUAAUAAUUAUGGUUAUUGUGGCUGCAGUUAUUGUAAUUAUGAUACUGUUGCGAUUCAAAUUGCAGUUGUUAUAGUGUGAAAUAUUUCAUAAUUAAAUAAAUAUUUUUUAAAUUAAAUGCAGACUGAUAUCAUCCAAUAUGAUUCGUUGUAGCCUAAUGUAAUCACAUUAUUAUGAUUCACUAUCACACUACAAAUAUAACAAAUAUAGUAAAUAGUUGCGGCUGUCGCCAUAAUGCAAUAUGGCAGAUUUAAAUCAUUUAUCAUUCCUUGAGUUUAGGACUUGGCCUUUUUCUCCAAGUUCAGAUCACAAUUAAAAUUUAGAAAAGUAAAUACUCAGAAUAAGCAAAAAGAGAAAGCGGAAAGCCACCAACCAAAUUCAUUUUAACAUUGUGCACAAUUUAACUGAAAACUGCAGAGGACAACAAUCCAAUAAGAAAAGAUAACAAAUCUAUUCGAUCAUAUCAAACUAAGCAUAUCUUUUCCUUCCACCUAAUAUAUUGAGAAUGCUUAGAAUGUGUAUAAAUAGAUGACAUCCAUCUUCACUUUUACAAUCUUGAGGCACUUGGAACAUUCAGCAACAUGAAUGUGCACUUGUUAGGCUGCUUUGCCUGCACAUAAAACAACCUAAGAUUUUAGACCAAGUUACAUGUUUUUGUUCGUAUAAUUAAGGGUAUCCCCUCAUCCCGUGGAUAAAGAAGUAUGUGUGGUUGUCCUCUCAACAACCGCUGCUCAGAGAAAUCGAUUUUUUUUACCUUUUAGUUAUUUUGGGAUGCAAUAGAGUCUUACAUCACUAAACCAAGUUAUUUAACUCUAAUAAAAUUGUUUUUUGAUAGACAAUAAGAAAGAUGCAAACCUUGAAUGAAGACAUUUAGGAAGUGAAGAAAGAUCCACUCUUGAUAGCAUCUUCAUUAGCAUUACCAAGAGCAGCCUCAUUCAAGUACUUGUCUGCCAAUUGGACUCUCUUCACAUUGUCUUGUUCUUGGACAAGCAUGUUACCAUAUCCCAAGAGAGUCUCCAGUGUCAUCUUUGGCUGGUCAAAAGUUGGAGGUCCUUC
Molecule: long non-coding RNA, 13733 nt
Filed under: Lupinus angustifolius (narrow-leaved blue lupine)
Lineage: Eukaryota; Viridiplantae; Streptophyta; Magnoliopsida; Fabales; Fabaceae
Description: long non-coding RNA (LANG_LNC002795)
Source: RNAcentral